UCUGGUUGAUCCUGCCAGUAGUCAUAUGCUUGUCUCAAAGAUUAAGCCAUGCAUGUCUAAGUAUAAAUAGUAUACAGUGAAACUGCGAAUGGCUCAUUAAAACAGUUAUAGUUUAUUUGAUAAUUGACAAUUACAUGGAUAACCGUGGUAAUUCUAGAGCUAAUACAUGCUUAAACGCCCGACUUUAUGGAAGGGUGGUAUUUAUUAGACUGAAGCCAAUAUUCCUUGUGUCUAUUGCGGUGACUCAUAAUAACUGAUCGAGUCUCUUUUUGAGAUAAAUCAUUCAAGUUUCUGCCCUAUCAGCUUUCGAUGGUAGUGUAUUGGACUACCAUGGCAGUAACGGGUAACGAAGAAUUAGGGUUCGAUUUCGGAGAGGGAGCAUGAGAAACGGCUACCACAUCUAAGGAAGGCAGCAGGCGCGUAAAUUACCCAAUCCUGACUCAGGGAGGUAGUGACAAGAAAUAGCAAACCGGGAACCUCAUGGUUUCACGGUAUUGCAAUGAGAACAAUUUAAAACCCUUAGCGAGAAUCAAGUGGAGGACAAGUCUGGUGCCAGCACCCGCGGUAAUUCCAGCUCCACUAGCGUAUAUUAAAGUUGUUGCAGUUAAAAAGCUCGUAGUUGAACCUCUGUCUGGGGCUAGUUUUGGCUUUGGUCAGGCUAGUUCUAGGCAUCCGCCUACAAGACUUAGAGGGCAUUCAGUUGUUCACUAGGAGGAGUAGGCAUUUUACUUUGAAAAAAUUAGAGUGUUUAAGGCAGGCAAUCGCCCGCAUAUAUUAGCAUGGAAUAAUAGAAUAGGACACUUUUCCAUUUCGUUGGUUAUUGGAAUCGUGUAAUGAUUAAUAGGGACAGUUGUGGGCAUUUGUAUUUAAUUGUCAGAGGUGAAAUUCUUGGAUUUAUUAAAGACAAACUAACGCGAAAGCAUUUGCCAAGGAUGUUUUCAUUAAUCAAGAACGAAAGUUAGGGGAUCAAAGACGAUCAGAUACCGUCCUAGUCUUAACUAUAAACUAUUCCGACUCAAUGUUUGACUGGCUUAUAUAACCAGUUGAGCGUUGUAUGAGAAAUCAAAGUCUUUAGGUUCUGGGGGGAGUAUGGUUGCAAAGCUGAAACUUAAAGGAAUUGACGGAAGAGCACAACCAGGAGUGGAUUCUGCGGCUUAAUUUGACUCAACACGGGGAAACUUACCAGGUUAAAACAAUAGUGGGAUUGACAGUUUGAGAGCGCUUUCUUGAUUGGUUGGGUGGUGGUGCAUGGCCGUUCUCAGUUGG
Molecule: ribosomal RNA, 1266 nt
Filed under: metagenome
Description: SSU rRNA
Rfam family: Eukaryotic small subunit ribosomal RNA
Source: RNAcentral